Tupaia belangeri chinensis (Chinese tree shrew) is the source of this 972-nucleotide long non-coding RNA. RefSeq lists it as uncharacterized. The transcript has 3 exons. NCBI's taxonomy places the organism in Eukaryota, Metazoa, Chordata, Mammalia, Scandentia, Tupaiidae. The record is from RefSeq and is a predicted model, not a curated record.
CAUGUAGAAUGUAAACCUCGGCCCUUCCGAGACCUGUGUGCUUUACGGCUCUGCAACGCGGGCAGCCCCGUGCCAGCUGUGACCGGCCACUGGAGACCGUGGGAGACCCACGCUGCGGGCACAGCCCAGGACGAGACCCGCACCCUGAGGACUUCCAGGCAGGGCGGGAGGCGUCUGCCAAAGAACGCCAUCGACCGAGUUAAAAAAGUCACUGAAGCUCUGUUCUUAGUUCCGAGCGGUGAUUUCUCAGUAACUGCAUGUUAUCGCGUUUCAAGAAUAGCCCAUGUCCGCAGAGUGGUGGCCAACCAGACCGCGUAGUCAACUCCUUUUCGCCAGCUGUUUCUGUAGGUAAAGGUGAUAGGGUCCCCGCCGGCUGGGCGACCACCGCCCACCCCCUCCACCUUCCAUGUUAAGCUAAGGAAGGGAGACAAAGAGGCUGACUAAUCCCCCUACUGCAGGUAUCCACGGCCCAGGCACCAUUUGUCAGAGGAAACGGGGACUUCCUCCAUGGCACAGCCAGGCUAACCCCAUCACCGGUCCUCACAGAUGAGUGCAGUGAGGAGGUGCUGCGUGUCAUUAUCCCGCCUCCCGGGAUGCCCACCAAGGGCCCAAGUUCCUUGCCCAAGGCGGCAGAGAAAACUGGAGACAGAGCAAGGAGCAGGGUCAGGCUUCCCUCCCCCGGCCCUGGGAAACACCGGCUCUCCCUCGUGCAGCUGCAACAUUCACUAUUUCUACCCAGUAAUUACGUGUGUGACAACUGUGACAACUCUCGCUGAGGUCGCCCGGCUGCUGGCGACCUUGGAUCUACAACAACAAUUACAGAAGACCCUAAAGCCAGCCCCAGGGAAUUACAAGUGCGCAAACCUCUUCCUCUGAGUGUGGGCAGAACCUGGAACUUGCCCUGAAUCACCGAUAUAUGGCAGCGGUGACGGAGAAAAUGAGAAAGCAAGCCACCAGGUCCAAGACCCGAAC